AUGUUUAAUUUAAAUAUUGCCAACCUCAGCAUCAAUGAGUCAGAGGAUAUUGAGGAUAAUGUGCUUAUCCCGCAGAAUUUUGUAGAUGAUGUUGUUGUUGGUUUUGAGGAUGAGUGCAAAGAAAUAGUGGAAAAGCUAGUUGACCAAAAGAAUGAAAAACUUAGUGUUGUCUCAUUGGUAGCCGUGGGUGGAGCAGGAAAGACUACACUCGCUAGAAAAGUGUACAAUUCACCUAGAGUUAAAGAAUACUUUAAUGAAUUUGCUUGGGUGACUGUAUCCCAAAAGUUCAAGGGCAUUGAUCUGCUAAAUGAUAUUCUGAAACAAAUAACGGGGGCCAGUUAUGAAUCAAGCAAGGCAACUGAUCAAAUCCGGGAGAAUGAGAUCGGGAAGAAGAUCCAUGACUUUCUAUUACAAAGAAGAUACUUGUUGGUUCUUGAUGAUGUGUGGGAGGCAGACACUUGGGAGCAAAUAAAUAGAGCAGCUAAAGUCUUUCCAGAUACAAAUAAUAGCAGUAGAGUACUGUUAACCACACGGAAAAAAGAUGUUGCGCAUCAUAUUCAAAUGCCAACUUAUGUUUGUGAUCUAAAGCUCAUGGAUGAAGAGAAAUCUUGGGAGCUUUUUAAAAGCAAAGCUUUACCAUCAUACAGAACGUACAUGAUUUGUAAUCCUGAUAAGUUUGAAGAACUAGGGAGAAAACUUGCAAGGAAGUGUGCUGGCCUGCCACUUGCACUUGCAGUUCUUGGGGGGUAUCUAUCGAAGAAUCUAAAUGUAGAGGCAUGGUCAGAUUUGCUUUUGGGUUGGACAUCCAUAGAAGAAGUAGAGGUGGUGGGACACAUACUAGCUCGGAGUUAUAAUGACUUGUCAAAUAAGUGGCGCAAGUCAUGUUUCCUCUAUGUUGCUUCUUUCCCAGAGGAUUAUCCUAUAACUGUGGCAGAUCUGAUUGAACUUUGGAUAGCUGAAUGCUUCAUUCCACAUACAACAAGGCAUAUAAUGGAAGAAACGGCACAGAGGUAUGUUACUGAUUUGGCUCAAAGAAACUUGGUGCAAUUUCACUUUGGAGUGGCAGCUGAUUAUAUGCCAAUCCAAACAAUAAGGAUUCAUGAUGUUCUACGUGAUUGGUGCAUAGAAGAAGCAAGAAGAGAUGGUUUUCUCCGUGUCAUUGACAAAACUACAGGCCAAGCUGGUGCAUCAUCUUCAGAUAUCAUGACGUCCUAUCGUUCUUGUUUUCAUAAUUUCUGUGAUGACCGGAUUCUUCAGGCAACACCUAACCUCCGAACAUGGAUUGGUUUGGGACUUUCAGAACUGUUCCUUCCAAAGCUAAGGUUCCUGAAAGUUCUUCACAUAGAAAAAUCAAGAAUCAAGAAUUUGAUGUUAAUUCGUGAGUGCAUUCACCUAAGAUACCUUAGGUUGAGGGAUUGUCACACUGUCACACUCCCUUCUUCUAUUGGACAACUCCAUUACUUGCAAACCGUAGAUCUGAGAGGCACAUCUCUGAGCAGAAGUUUACAAAUCCCUGUAUGGGCUAUCCCUAACCUAAGACAUCUUUACCUUGAUUCUGGAUCUUGUGGAACCAUUGAACGAGACCCGAUGCCACUCCUAGAGAAGCUUCCAUGUCUUGUGGUGCUGCAUCUAUGGAAUUAUUGA
Molecule: ribosomal RNA, 1644 nt
Filed under: Triticum aestivum (bread wheat)
Lineage: Eukaryota; Viridiplantae; Streptophyta; Magnoliopsida; Poales; Poaceae
Description: partial small subunit ribosomal RNA
Source: RNAcentral